CACGGGGGGAGCAAGCGUUGUUCGGAAUCACUGGGCGUAAAGGGCGUGUAGGCGGUCAGAUAAGUGGAAUGUGAAAUGCCCCGGCUCACCCGGGGACCGGCAUCCCAAACUGUCUGGCUUGAGUAUGGGAGAGGAUGAGGGAAUUCCUGGUGUAGCGGUGAAAUGCGUAGAUAUCAGGAGGAACACCGGUGGCGAAGGCGCUCAUCUGGCCCAAUACUGACGCUGAUGCGCGAAAGCUAGGGGAGCAAACGGG
This 253-nucleotide ribosomal RNA is filed under the name uncultured bacterium. RNAcentral describes it as "partial 16S ribosomal RNA". It matches the Rfam family "Bacterial small subunit ribosomal RNA", at positions 524 to 776 of the family's 1533-position model. The record is from RNAcentral.